Molecule: unclassified non-coding RNA, 607 nt
Filed under: Hevea brasiliensis (rubber tree)
Lineage: Eukaryota; Viridiplantae; Streptophyta; Magnoliopsida; Malpighiales; Euphorbiaceae
Source: RNAcentral
CAAUAUUUUAGUACAGUGUUUAUAGGCUAGACAACCAGAAAAAUAAUUCCUAUAAUACACGCAUGUACACGACAAGAUGCUUCAGCUGUUGUUAUGGCAGAAUGCUAGUAGAAAAGAGUUACAAUUGGAUUAACCUUUUUUAGUGGCAAACAUUCUUUAACCAGUUCUUGAAGAAGAGCCGUUCACGCUUACUUACCAGAAGUUUUAUGGAGAGCCUGUCUUUGUGAAGUAAGAUGAGAAAUCUACUUGCAGGUUCUCAUACUUGUUCAUGAAUGGAUGAGUCAAAAGUUCACGUUUUUUUGGGUCCUUCUGCAAACAUGAAGAUAUGAAUGAGCAAAACUCUGGGGAAAAUUGAUCAGAAGGUGCGCAAGGUUCAGGUUGCUCAACAAUAGCUUCCAUAAGUUCAAAGAUGUUAGCCCAGACUUCAUCCUGUUCUGGAGGGGAAUAUGGGAAUUGACCAGUUGCACACUCCAGCAAUACUAUACCCAUGCUCCAAAUGUCACUUUUGUAGUUAUGUGAUCCUUCACUAAUUUCACUGUUGAUUCUCUCAGGAGACAUAUAGUGGUAUGUACCAACAUAAGUAUUUGCCUGUCCAGAGGUGCUUGCC